This 437-nucleotide ribosomal RNA is filed under the name uncultured bacterium. RNAcentral describes it as "partial 16S ribosomal RNA". It matches the Rfam family "Bacterial small subunit ribosomal RNA", at positions 29 to 507 of the family's 1533-position model. The record is from RNAcentral.
AGCGAACGCUGGCGGCAGGCUUAACACAUGCAAGUCGAGCGGGCAUCCUUGUGGUGUCAGCGGCAGACGGGUGAGUAACGCGUGGGAACGUGCCCUUCGGUUCGGAAUAACUCAGGGAAACUUGAGCUAAUACCGGAUACGUGCGAGAGCAGAAAGGUUUAUCUGCCGAAGGAUCGGCCCGCGUCUGAUUAGCUAGUUGGUGAGGUUAUGGCUCACCAAGGCGACGAUCAGUAGCUGGUCUGAGAGGAUGAUCAGCCACACUGGGACUGAGACACGGCCCAGACUCCUACGGGAGGAAGCAGUGGGGAAUAUUGGAAAAUGGGGGCAACCCUGAUCCAGCCAUGCCGCGUGAGUGAUGACGGCCUUAGGGUUGUAAAGCUCUUUUCUCCGGGACGAUAAUGACGGUACCGGAGGAAUAAGCCCCGGCUAACUUCGUG